RNAcentral lists this long non-coding RNA (918 nucleotides) under Ananas comosus (pineapple). RNAcentral describes it as "long non-coding RNA (ACOM_LNC006791)". Lineage: Eukaryota; Viridiplantae; Streptophyta; Magnoliopsida; Poales; Bromeliaceae. The record is from RNAcentral.
CUCUCUCCAUUUCUCCACCUUUCUUCCAUCAAGUUUGAUUCUAAACUAGAGAAAAACAACUUUCUCAUUUUAUUUUAUUUUAUUUUCUCUUUCUCUUCAUCCAAACAGAGAGAGGAAAAAAACUAUCAAAUGUUCAAAAACCUAAGGCUGUGUUUGGACAUACGAAUAAAAUAUUCAACAAUAUUUCAUUCGGUAUAUAGAUUUUCUUGUGUGAUUGAUUGGAUCAUAGGAGUUUGAUUUUCUUUGCUCCUUGAACGGUUGUGGCAUCUUUGAUUUGGUAGGAUAGCAUAUUUACCUUCUGAAUAGAUGAUUUGAAGGCCGAAUAUAAUAUUUAUUCUAGACAUUCGAUGACACUUCUCAUCUACCAAAUAUUACAUGCUUCUGGAGUAAAUCGAAGGGAUUACAUGAAUAAGACGUUCGUGCAUCCAAACAUGAUCUUAAAAAUUUGAGAUCAGCGGUGCAAUUUACCCAAUUCUACACAUAUGAAAACAAGGCUCAGGCCCAGAUCUUUAAAUUGCAAAUUUCCAAAUUAAUUUCCCUAAAAGGGGUGUUUGCUUCCUCAAAAAAGCAAGAAAAAGGUGAUAUGUGGCGAUGGAUUGGGGCUCACUAAUGAGGCAUCGUUGUAGAAGUUUUUUUUUUUUUUUUUUUUAAAAAAAAAAAAAAAAAAGAAGGUUACGUAUAUGCUUCAUUAAUUUAAAUUUUUAGGGUUAGGAUUAAUGUUGCACUAGAAGUGCAUGGGAUGGGGGUUUUCUUAAUUAAGUAAUAAUUACCCGGUUAAUUAAUUAGAGGGGUUAAUAUUUUCCUAUGGGCCCAUUAUAUAUAUAUAUAUGCCUUUUGUUUUUGAAUUUACGUAGCCCACCCUUGCAAGUUUCGAAGUGCACUUACUUUGAAGUUGGCUUCGGAUCACAUAAUGAGAGA